Molecule: long non-coding RNA, 1518 nt
Filed under: Ficedula albicollis (Collared flycatcher)
Lineage: Eukaryota; Metazoa; Chordata; Aves; Passeriformes; Muscicapidae
Description: lncRNA (ENSFALG00000028781.1)
Source: RNAcentral
AUGGAGCCGUGUCCCUGCGGACUGUGCCUGAGCUCGAACUCCCCUCCGGGACCCCUCCCCAGCUUUGUCCCCUCUCUCUGCCACACCCCGAGCACUCCAGGCACGAUUUUUAACCCUUUCGCUGUCUGCUGCUCCCGUGGGUGCAGCACCCACUCCCCAUCACUCGGGCGGGGCGGUGGAGGCAGAGGGAGAGGAGGAAGAGGAGGGAGAGGAGGUGCUGAGCGUGCAGCAGGUGCCGAGGCGACGCUCGCCACAACAAAUCGCUGUGAUUCAGCCCCGGAGCAUCUGGCAGCGAGCGCUGAGGAGCCGGGGGAGCCGGUGUCACGCAGCCGUUCUGCCGAGGCGUCCCGGAGCCCCCGGGAACCGGCGAUCCGUGCUCGGGGAGGAUGGAGAUCCUCAGCUCCCAUUUCCCGAGCGCUGCUGGCAUCGGUGUCCCUUGGUGUGACAGCAGGAGUCAAACCUGUCACCUCCUCUGGGAGCGCCCUGGAACUGCGCUGUCCCAGCCCUCCGGACCCUCCCACAUAUCUAGAGCAUCCCUCAGCCAGGUGGGAAGGGCUGUGCCAGGUGAGGGGGUACACCUGGGUGUGUUUUCAGAGAGGAACAGCACCCCUGGGCAGAAGCCACCAGGUCUUGGUGGCCUCGUGCUGCCAUUGGUGUGAGAGAUGGCAGCCCUGGGUACCUGUGACACCAUCCCAGCCCUGGGUACAGUGGCACCAUCCCAGCCCUGGGUACCUGUGACACCAUCCCAGCCCUGGGUACCUGUGACACCAUCCCAGCCCUGGGCACAGUGACACCAUCCCAGCCCUGGGUACAGUGACACCAUCCCAGCCCUGGGCACAGUGUCACCAUCCCAGCCCUGGGUACCUGUGACACCAUCCCAGCCCUGGGUACCUGUGUCACCAUCCCAGCCCUGGGCACUGUGACUCAGGGGAAGGAUGAACCACCCUGCAGUUAUUUUUCCACCCAGACCCAGCCAGAAUGUGGAGCUAAAACACAAAUCCCUGGGCAAUGCUCGGUGUCAUCUUCUCCCUCUUUUCCCCUGGAUCUUCAAAAAUCAUAUUUGUUUGACCAUUCUUUCCUCACAGCUCCAGCGAAUUUCCUCUCUGAUUAUUUGAAAUUAAUUAUCUUGUGUCUUGCCACCCAUCUCCUGAUUUUAGGAUCAGGCCAGAAGCUCCUGUUCUCCCUUUGCAGUCCCUCCAGUGAGUGCUGUCUCUGGAAUAAAUCCUUCCAAAUCAUCAAACAGGCUCCAUAACAUAUUUUCCUCUAAACAACCACGUUUGCUGCCACCCCAGGCAUGGAUGGCAUUUCCCUGGAGGCUCUGCAAAGGCGCAGAAAUCUCCAGGGAAGCUGAGGGAGGCUUCCAACAUCCCUGUGAGAUCCCAGAAUCGCUUCCUUUAACCUCUGAUGCACCGAGGUGGGUUCCUGCUGCCUCUCCUACGUGCUCAGCCCUGUUUGUUUUCCUACCUCGGCUGAUUUUGCUCUUCAGAAAGCCCUUCAUUAGCCCCACGCUGGGUUGGA